This 2756-nucleotide long non-coding RNA is filed under the name Homo sapiens (human). RNAcentral describes it as "HSALNT0121812". The record is from RNAcentral. Lineage: Eukaryota; Metazoa; Chordata; Mammalia; Primates; Hominidae.
AGGAAAGUGUGAAGUGAGGCUUCUAUAACCAAGCAAGAUUCCUUCACAUAUCCAAGCUAUGGAGAAACAGUUUUGAACAUGCUGGAACUCAGGGGAUGCUGACCCAUGAGCUUUUUUCAAGAAACCUGACACCUGGGAAAACUGGUGAAACAAGAUUAAUAGUGAGUGUUUAAUAUAUUUAACUGAAGAUCUAAGACUAAACCAAAGGUAAGAUAAGAAUCAAAGGAUGAUAUAGAAACAUGUUCUCUGACAAAGUCAGAAAAAAGCACAACCUAAAAAAAGAAAGAGAGGGAAAAGCAUAAUUAGCUCAAUGAUUUACUUACAAAAGUUGGGAAACAAAUGACAUCAUUUCAAGCUACCAAAAAAAAAAAGCAGAAGCUUAAAUAUAUUUAGGUGCACAGAGUGCAAGUAAAGAAAGAGAAUAUGCAUUAUUCUAAUCAUUAAAAUUGAAUGGCAGAGAAAGGAAGGAAAGAGGAGUUUGCAAAACAAAUUAUAUUCUUCUUGCUUACAGUAGAGACCCAGUCAAUAUUAUCUAAAGGAAAGAAGGAAGAAUGGGUAUUAUAAAAACGUCAGUACUAAUACAAAAGUUCAAACAUUUCCAAUUAUCAAAAGCAAAAAACAGAACAGAAAAACUAAGAAAACAGAACACAUGGCAAAAGUUUUUUAUAACUCUUUUUGAAAAAAAUGAAGCAUUUUUUAAUGCCAGAACUGGGUAUAAACAUGUGGUGAGAGCUUAUAAUUUUAUGUUGCCUUGGCAUCCAUCUUAAAAUAUGUUUUAACUUUCUCAUACCAGAAGCAGGGCUCAGUCAGCCUUGACACCGUUUCUAAUACUAUUCCCCACUGGAAUGGCUCCAGUUGGUGGCCAGAGAUACUGCUUCAUUUCAAGGAACCAUUCAGACAUUUGCCUGCAAACUUAACGUGACCGCCUCUCAGUCAGGGGGACCUCCUGGAACCAGUGCCUGCUUGCUUUAAAUUCAACAAUUAAACCUGUUUGGAUAACACUCUGAACCCAAUAAAGGCCCCGCAAGAGUGACGCUGCCAGGCAGGCGCCGCCCUGUUCGGUUCCUGCUGCUGUCGCUCCUCGCUCCCCACCACCUCCAGAGCUCCGGUGGGUCACCAUGGAAAGGGAAGCCGCUGCCUGCAAGGCCAGCAGACACAGAGGUCACCCUCCAAUUUUUUCGGGUAACAUUCUGUAAGGACAGAACACCAGGAGGCUACUCCUACCACCAGGAGCAUGUCAGGUAAACAUCCAGAGAGAUGAAGGAAGAAAAAAUUUUAUUUUAGCCACCAAGAAAUACAAGCCGUUCUAAAGAUUAUACUUAAAAGAAAAAAAAAACAAAAAAAGGAAGGAAAAAGGGGACCGAUGAUCUUGCAAUCACGGAAGUUGUAGAGAGCUGGCUGCCUAGAGACACUGUGCCCUUCCCUCCUCCCUCUUUUCCUCUUAUCAACCAGAGGCAGAGACUAAGAAUGCCUUCAAGCAACUAAAGCCUAAAAUAAAAAAGAAAGAAAAGAGGAAGAGGGAGAGGGAGGGAGAGAGAGAGAGAGAGAGAGAGAGAGAGAGAGAGAGAGAGAGACUGUUGCUUUAUGCUAUUACAAGUCCAAGAAAAAAAAAAAAAGAGAUGAACUUUAAACUUUAAAUACUUAGCAGCUGCCAGGUCUAGCAAACAUGCUAGCCCUAGAUCACUUACUGAUUUAUAAACAAACCCCUAGAUACAGAGGGGGAAAAAGGUAAUUAAAUAAAAGUUAUAUAUAAUAUUUUAACAUAAAUAUAUGUUGAUAAAUGGUGUAUAUGAUAUAUUUGCAUCUUUUGAUAUAGUUAGAAGUUCAUAAUGCAUAUAGCAAUUUAUAUAUCAAAGAAUUUACAUAACAAAAAGAUUAAAAAGGACACGUACUGGCUUUGUGCUUCUACAAGGUCAGUUCUAAUUUAACUUUAACAAUUUGUUAAAAUGCACUAACAAAAAUGCAUGGACUUAAUAUUGGGGCUCAAAUUAUAUUUAUACCUGGGGAAUUCCACUAAACUUAAACACUCUGCCCAUGUAAUCUUGAGCAGGUAACUGAAUAUAAUAUUUUGUAAAUGAAUAUGCCUUGCAUAUUCAUUUGUAGCAUGGCCUAAAUUUCCCAUAGUUAUAUAUCCAUUGCUGUAAGAUAUUCUAUAUUAGGCAGAGAUGCUCUGACACAAUAAAUAACAAAUUAAAAUUAAAGUAAGUCUUUGGCACUUACAAAUUGACUUAAUAAAAUGGAACCCCUUGUACCCCCAGUUAAUAUAGUUAAUAUGGCCCAAAGUAAGUUGAAAUGGAUUAAAACCAAUUCUAAAAAACCUAUUAAUAAAGGCGUGAUUAUUCCCACUUCCCCAUUUAACAGCCCUUUCAUUAGGGCCCCUAUAUCCAAUACCUAAUAUUAUUAAAAUUGCUGAUUCCGUUCAAUCAACAACUGGUAAAUAUUUUGCUCUUGUGGAUUUGGCUAACGUGCUGUUUCAAUAGCGUCUUCACUGCAGUUCGCCUCCUCCUCUAAAAGAACACAGUACACCUUUUCAGACCUCUGCAGCUGUGUCAUCACAUGCAAUCUUUAAUUAAUCUUAACGACAUCCACCUUCUCCAGGAGCACUGGUAUGAGAGUACAUCCAGGACAUUCUCAGCCAAGGAGACUCACUUAAUACAUACAUUGAUGACAUUCGAGACCAAUAUUUCUUAGUACUUUUGGGUUUUGGUGGCAACAUAUUCCUCAUUUAUAAAUUUUACUUCUAAAUUAAAGUCUAC